This 253-nucleotide ribosomal RNA is filed under the name uncultured bacterium. Its description in RNAcentral is "partial 16S ribosomal RNA". It matches the Rfam family "Bacterial small subunit ribosomal RNA", at positions 524 to 776 of the family's 1533-position model. The record is from RNAcentral.
UACAGAGGUCUCGAGCGUUGUUCGGAUUCAUUGGGCGUAAAGGGCGCGUAGGCGGCGGGGUAAGUCUGGUGUGAAAUCUCGGAGCUCAACUCCGAAAUUGCACUGGAUACUGCUCUGCUAGAGGGCUGGAGAGGAGAUCGGAAUUCACGGUGUAGCAGUGAAAUGCGUAGAUAUCGUGAGGAGGACCAGUGGCGAAGGCGGAUCUCUGGGCAGCUCCUGACGCUGAGGCGCGAAGGCUAGGGGAGCAAACGGG